This 494-nucleotide ribosomal RNA is filed under the name uncultured bacterium. RNAcentral describes it as "partial 16S ribosomal RNA". It matches the Rfam family "Bacterial small subunit ribosomal RNA", at positions 28 to 504 of the family's 1533-position model. The record is from RNAcentral.
GACGAACGCUGGCGGCGUGCCUAAUACAUGCAAGUUGAGCGAUGAAGAUUGGUGCUUGCACCAAUUUGAAGAGCAGCGAACGGGUGAGUAACGCGUGGGGAAUCUGCCUUUGAGCGGGGGACAACAUUUGGAAACGAAUGCUAAUACCGCAUAACAACUUUAAACAUAAGUUUUAAGUUUGAAAGAUGCAAUUGCAUCACUCAAAGAUGAUCCCGCGUUGUAUUAGCUAGUUGGUGAGGUAAAGGCUCACCAAGGCGAUGAUACAUAGCCGACCUGAGAGGGUAAUCGGCCACAUUGGGACUGAGACACGGCCCAAACUCCUACGGGAGGCAGCAGUAGGGAAUCUUCGGCAAUGGACGAAAGUCUGACCGAGCAACGCCGCGUGAGUGAAGAAGGUUUUCGGAUCGUAAAACUCUGUUGGUAGAGAAGAACGUUGGUGAGAGUGGAAAGCUCAUCAAGUGACGGUAACUACCCAGAAAGGGACGGCUAACUAC